GUGUCAGCAGCCGCGGUAAUACCCGCGGCCCGAGUGGUGGUCGAUAUUAUUGAGCCUAAAACGUCCGUAGCCGGUCUUGUAAAUCCUUGGGUAAAUCGGCCAGCUUAACUGUCCGAAGUCCGGGGAGACUGCAAGACUUGGGAUCGGGAGAGGUCAGAGGUACUUCUGGGGUAGGGGUAAAAUCCUGUAAUCCUGGAAGGACCACCGGUGGCGAAGGCGUCUGACUAGAACGAAUUCGACGGUGAGGGACGAAGCCCUGGGGCGCAAACGGGAUUAGAUACCCCGGUAGUCCAGGGUGUAAACGCUGCGGGCUUGGUGUUGGGGGUCCUUUGUGGGCGCCCAGUGCCGGAGAGAAGUUGUUAAGCCUGCUGCUUGGGGAGUACGUCCGCAAGGAUGAAACUCAAAUGAAUUGGCGGGG
Molecule: ribosomal RNA, 418 nt
Filed under: uncultured prokaryote
Description: bacterial SSU rRNA
Rfam family: Archaeal small subunit ribosomal RNA
Source: RNAcentral